RNAcentral lists this ribosomal RNA (302 nucleotides) under uncultured bacterium. Its description in RNAcentral is "partial 16S ribosomal RNA". It matches the Rfam family "Bacterial small subunit ribosomal RNA", at positions 508 to 807 of the family's 1533-position model. The record is from RNAcentral.
GCAGCAGCCGCGGGAACACGUAGGUGGCAAGCGUUGUCCGGAAUUAUUGGGCGUAAAGGGCUCGCAGGCGGUUUCUUAAGUCUGAUGUGAAAGCCCCCGGCUCAACCGGGGAGGGUCAUUGGAAACUGGGAAACUUGAGUGCAGAAGAGGAGAGUGGAAUUCCACGUGUAGCGGUGAAAUGCGUAGAGAUGUGGAGGAACACCAGUGGCGAAGGCGACUUUCUGGUCUGUAACUGACGCUGAGGAGCGAAAGCGUGGGGAGCGAACAGGAUUAGAUACCCCCGUAGUCCCUGUCUCUUAUAC